RNAcentral lists this ribosomal RNA (609 nucleotides) under Streptomyces sp. ID38640. RNAcentral's name for it is "partial 23S ribosomal RNA". It matches the Rfam family "Bacterial large subunit ribosomal RNA", at positions 1557 to 2144 of the family's 2925-position model. The record is from RNAcentral. Lineage: Bacteria; Bacillati; Actinomycetota; Actinomycetes; Kitasatosporales; Streptomycetaceae.
UGAGACCUGAUGCCGAGCCGAUUGUGGUGAAGUGGAUGAUCCUAUGCUGUCGAGAAAAGCCUCUAGCGAGUUUCAUGGCGGCCCGUACCCUAAACCGACUCAGGUGGUCAGGUAGAGAAUACCGAGGCGUUCGGGUGAACUAUGGUUAAGGAACUCGGCAAAAUGCCCCCGUAACUUCGGGAGAAGGGGGGCCAUUGCUGGUGAUCCGAUUUACUCGGUGAGCUGGUGGUGGCCGCAGAGACCAGCGAGAAGCGACUGUUUACUAAAAACACAGGUCCGUGCGAAGCCGUAAGGCGAUGUAUACGGACUGACGCCUGCCCGGUGCUGGAACGUUAAGGGGACCGGUUAGUCAACUUUCGGGUUGGCGAAGCUGAGAACUUAAGCGCCAGUAAACGGCGGUGGUAACUAUAACCAUCCUAAGGUAGCGAAAUUCCUUGUCGGGUAAGUUCCGACCUGCACGAAUGGCGUAACGACUUCUCGACUGUCUCAACCAUAGGCCCGGUGAAAUUGCAUUACGAGUAAAGAUGCUCGUUUCGCGCAGCAGGACGGAAAGACCCCGGGACCUUUACUAUAGCUUGAUAUUGGUGUUCGGUUCGGCUUGUGUAGGAU